AUUGAACGCUGGCGGCAGGCCUAACACAUGCAAGUCGAGCGGAGCGUCGGACGGGUGAGUAAUACCUAGGAAUCUGCCUGGUAGUGGGGGCUAACGUACGGAAACGGACGCCAAUACCGCAUAAUAUCAGAUGAGCCUAGGUCUGAUUAGCUAGUUGGGGUGGUAAUGGCUCACAAAGGCUACGAUCCGUAACUGGACUGAGAGGAUGAUCAGUCACACGGGAACUGUGACAGGGGCCAGACUCCUACGGGAGGCAGCAGUGGGGAAUAUUGGACAAUGGGCGAAAUCCUGAUCCAGCCAUGCCGCGUGUGUGAAGAAGGUCUUCGUAUUGUAAAGCACUUUAAGUUGGGAGGCGUUACCGACAGAAUAAGCACCGGCUAACUCUGUGCCAGCAGCGCGGUAAUAC
Molecule: ribosomal RNA, 406 nt
Filed under: uncultured bacterium
Lineage: Bacteria
Description: partial 16S ribosomal RNA
Rfam family: Bacterial small subunit ribosomal RNA
Source: RNAcentral